RNAcentral lists this ribosomal RNA (651 nucleotides) under uncultured fungus. Its description in RNAcentral is "eukaryotic LSU rRNA". The stretch from base 220 to 373 matches the Rfam family "5.8S ribosomal RNA". Lineage: Eukaryota; Fungi. The record is from RNAcentral.
CACUAUCGUACAAAAUGUGAGGGGCAUGUGAGGGCUGUCGCCGACUCAAAGUCGUGCACGCCCGAGCGUGUCCUCUCACAUAAUAAUCCAUCUCACCCUUUGUGCAUCGCCGCGUGGGCACCCUUUGGGAUCAUCUCGGAGGGGGCUCGCGUUUUCACACAAACCCCCCUUUUAAAAGUGUAGAAUGACCUCAUUUAUGCGCUAACCCGCAAUCAAUACAACUUUCAACAACGGAUCUCUUGGCUCUCGCAUCGAUGAAGAACGCAGCGAAAUGCGAUACGUAAUGUGAAUUGCAGAAUUCAGUGAAUCAUCGAAUCUUUGAACGCACCUUGCGCCCCUUGGUAUUCCGAGGGGCACACCCGUUUGAGUGUCGUGAAAACCUCAACCUCUUUGGUUUCUUCUGGAGACCAAAGCAGGCUUGGACUUUGGAGGCCUUUGCUGGCACCUCUCUCUUUUGAAGGUCAGCUCCUCUUAAACGAAUUAGCAGGGUCCUCUUUGCCGAUCCUCGACGUGUGAUAAGAUGUUUCCAUGUCUUGGUUUCUGGCUCUGUCACUUUUGGGACCCGCUUCUAACCGUCUUGACCUUGCGUCGAGACAAGUGCUCGAGCAUGUCUCCCUUCUUGGGAAGCUCCCUCGACCCCACGAACCCUUG